AGGUACUAUCUGUGACAAUAUGUUUUCAUGGUUUGGGAAUAAGACUUGGUGGUCUUGUACAGCUUAUACAUAGAUAAGCAUCACAGCUUGUCUUAGGAUUGAGGCUGGGAAUGGCCAUUGGAGCUGACUUUUUUGGUAACUGUGGCUGCAUAAAAUGAUUGUGUGAUAUAACUGUAACAGUAAAGAAUGUAAUUCAGACAAUUUUUGUGUAUUUUUGAGCAAUUAAUUGUUUAUAAUUUUUUACCAAAAGAAAAAAAAAAUAAACAUGUAAAGAUUCUCCAUUUUUAACAAGAUUGGAAGUUGUAGGUUAAUUUGUAUUUGACAUUUUAAAAUGCCUCUAUCUUUUUUCCAUUAUAACCCAUGGCUAUAUUCUGGUAUCUCUACUCAUGUCCAUUAUUGUCUUGACAAUUAUUGUGUCAUGCUUAUGGAUAAUGAACUGGUUUUUGGUAUGUAGUUUUGUAAAGAUGAGUUAAUAGUUCAGAUCGUACCAUUAUUAUUUUACCCUGUGACUAGACUAAAUUUGUCCUUUGAAAAUGAAGUAAAAUGGACCAAUUUUACAAUUUUACUUGUUGACCUACUAAAGACAUCUUAAUAAUGGUCCAUGUCUAGUCAAUACACUUCCAGUAGGUUAAGAAUGGAAAAUCUAAAAAAAAAAAAAAAAAAUGAAAAAAAGAGAAAUGAAGAAAGAGAAAAAAUGUUAUUUUUAUUGAAAUGUUUUUUUUUGAGUUUCCUGAAUGGUUUAGAUACAUAUUUUUUCAAACUUUUUGUUAUUUUUAGCUAAAAAGCUGGUGACCAUUUUUUUUUAUUGGUUUAAGUCAGAGUAACGAGAGAGAACCACCACAUUUAGGCAGGAAAGACAAUCUUAGUCGAUAAAAAUUUUAGUAGAACGCACCUUCCACAUGCUGGGUUUCAACUCUCUGCCAUCAAGGCCCGAAGGUGAAAAUUGAUGUAAUAGAAAUGUUAUUAAGAUGUGUUGUUUUUUGUCAUUAAAUUAUUUUUCAAUUUUAAUUAUAUUAUUUUUUGUAAUUUUGUUAAAUAUAGCAAUGAUGUGGAGUCCUAACAGGGUGAAAUUUAGGUCAAAGGGAGGAAUUUAUUAUCCCCCUGUUUAACUCCUCAUUCUUGAAUCUCCUUCUGUGUUAGCUUUUAUUUUACUUGGAUAUUUAUGUUUAUAUAAUAAAAAAUCAUAUCAGAUGUAUACUAGCUAAUAUUGACUAUUAUUUAGAGCUUUGUAAUGAAAAAAAAAUGUAAGCAGAGCUCUAAGUAAUAGAUAUGUGGGUUGGGAGAAAUCAAGGCUAACUAAAAAUUAUUUGUUGAAUUUUUUUAAAAAUUAGCUGAAAGUGCAUCUGAUUUUUUUAUAUAUAAUAUAUUUACCCUGGUAUAUCAUUAUUUCUAAA
Molecule: long non-coding RNA, 1394 nt
Organism: Mytilus californianus (California mussel)
Lineage: Eukaryota; Metazoa; Mollusca; Bivalvia; Mytilida; Mytilidae
Exons: 3
Source: RefSeq, a predicted model, not a curated record